Molecule: unclassified non-coding RNA, 364 nt
Filed under: uncultured fungus
Lineage: Eukaryota; Fungi
Description: partial contains 5.8S ribosomal RNA and internal transcribed spacer 2
Rfam family: 5.8S ribosomal RNA (bases 1-134)
Source: RNAcentral
UGGUUCUGGCAUCGAUGAAGAACGCAGCGAAAUGCGAUAAGUAAUGCGAAUUGCAGAAUUCCAGUGAGUCAUCGAAUCUUUGAACGCACAUUGCGCCCUUUGGUAUUCCGAAGGGCAUGCCUGUUCGAGCGUCAUUAUCACCCCUCAAGCCUUCGGCUUGGUGUUGGAUGGUUUGGUGACCGAGCCCUUUGGGCAACGGUCACCCCUCCCAAAGACAAUGACGGCGGCCUCGUUGGACCCCCGGUACACUGAGUUCCUUACCGAACACGUACUGGAUCAAGGGCCCGCGGAGCACGGUCUGCCUCCCCUCAGGGAGAACUUUUUUCUCAAGGUUGACCUCGGAUCAGGUAGGAAUACCCGCUGA